Long non-coding RNA from Mastomys coucha (southern multimammate mouse), 1968 nucleotides. RefSeq lists it as uncharacterized. The transcript is spliced from 3 exons. The record is from RefSeq and is a predicted model, not a curated record. NCBI's taxonomy places the organism in Eukaryota, Metazoa, Chordata, Mammalia, Rodentia, Muridae.
CACUUAGAAUGGCAGGGCUCUGAGUUCUCUCACCAUGUGAUGCUCCCUGCUAUCCAAAGAUUUUUAAGAUGUACCAGACACCAAGCAAAUGCCAGCACAGUGCUCUGAGACUGCUCAGUACCUGGAACCCCAAGAAACACAUUCAUUCCUCUUCCAGUACUCAGCCUCGGGUAUAACAGAAAACAGACUUAAAGAGAGACUCAAAAGUUGAGAAAGGAGUUCCUGGUUUCACCAUGUAAACAAACAGACUUCAGCAUGGGAAUGCGUGACACACGUGGAUAGAGAAACUUGGGAACAGAUCGAAGCAGGGCUGAUACAAGUUCUAAUUUACAGGAAGAGGACUGAUACAAACAGGAAAGACAACCAGUGACCAACUACUGCAGCUUUUAGCCACUUUUAAAAACAGAACGCUUUAAGGAUUUUCUUGAUGAGGUGAGAAGAAAAUAUAAAGGAAAACAAUUAAGCUAAGCUCACUGCUGGGCUUUCAGUCCUGAAGUUGACUCAAAAUUACCGCCCCUUUCCUCCAACUUCACAUGGUGAGCUUAGGAUAGGGAUGCUGCUUUUACUGACCAGCCUUUCCAGGUCUCUGGCCGACAUUGAACUCAUCCUGAGAACUUAAAAGCACAAUCCUGGAACAUUCUGCUUUGCCCCAGCUUGUACAGGCUGCUACAGCCCGGGACUAAAUAGUAAGGUCUGAGGCUGCACUUAUACUGAAAAAACAGUUGCUUAGAUUCAACCGGAAUUUUUUUUUUAACUCAAACCAAAUAUUUAAUCAUCUCUCAAAAAUGCCUUGUAGGAGGUAACCAACUUAAACAACUCCAAAAUAUGAUGCCGUACCCCAAUAACUAAAUGUUUCUAUUGUUUUCUCCAAACAAUAAGUAACUUUGCACAUGAAUAAGCUUGCUAUUGCAGAUAUCAGCUUUAUGACCUCUAUGAGUUUGGGUAAAAACAAAUUAUCAACGCGAACACUGUUUCAUUUCUCAGCCCAUCUCUACAGGAGUCCUGCUGAUUCUAUUCAUGAGAAUUUUGAGCUUUGGCUUUUCUUCUGGCACUUAAUCUCUUUCCCCGUUUGCUUACAUUGAUUUGACUCUUUACUGUAAAGUCCUUAGAUUGGACCUUCCGUGUUUUCUUAACCCCAUUGCCUAAAGAGAUAAUUCGUAUAGAUAAAACACAAAAUAGAUGUCUGGUAACUGUAAGCUAAUUUACAACCAAGAAAGAACUGUCUAAAACAGAUUAAAGCCACAAGGAUGAAGCCAAAGAGAGGAGGGCAAGGAUUCUCACCGUCUAUCUGUCUCGGCUGAGGCUCUGCUAUGUGGAAAAGGAAGCUGAGAAGGUUGUUGAAAAGUAACUCUGAUGUCAUCGGCGUCUUCAGAUUCUCCCGUCCUCCUCAGUCAACUGCGCACCUUAAGAACCGGAAAGGAACAGUUUGGCAUCCAUUCCAAACCAGAUUUCGGAACAUUAUUUGUGAUGGUCAAUGCAUUUAUCUCAGAAUCUUUCCUUGCUCGAAUUCAAUACAGAAGGAGUCUUUUAACAGGUACGUAUUCUAGAGUCAUACCUGGUCAAACCCUUAAAACCAAGGUUGACUCCAUCAAUGCUUUGUAACAGCUGUUACAUAUAAAUGACAUAUGUACCAUAUAUAUGUCUGAAUAUGUCAGCGCAGAUGCUGUGGUCUUGAUGAGUGAUGUCUUACAGAGACUCACAUAACUGCACACCUGGGUCCCAGUUGGUGGCACUCUUUAAGGAGGUACAGCCUUGCUGAAGAAAGUCCAUCACUGGGGCAGCCUUGGAGGAUUCCCAGCCUCACCCCACUUGCUGUAUGCACUUCCUCUCCCUGUUUCCUGUGUAUAGAUGAAAGAUGUAAUCUGCCAGCUUCCUGUUCCCGCCACCGGCUGCUAUGUCUUCCCUUCCCACAAUGGACUCUAACCUUGGAAACCACUUCAAGCCAAAAUAAACUCUUGCAUCAGUUGA